RNAcentral lists this ribosomal RNA (392 nucleotides) under uncultured bacterium. RNAcentral describes it as "partial 16S ribosomal RNA". It matches the Rfam family "Bacterial small subunit ribosomal RNA", at positions 523 to 918 of the family's 1533-position model. The record is from RNAcentral.
AUACGUAGGUGGCAAGCGUUAUCCGGAAUUAUUGGGCGUAAAGAGGGAGCAGGCGGCAGCAAGGGUCUGUGGUGAAAGCCUGAAGCUUAACUUCAGUAAGCCAUAGAAACCAGGCAGCUAGAGUGCAGGAGAGGAUCGUGGAAUCCCAUGUGUAGCGGUGAAAUGCGUAGAUAUAUGGAGGAACACCAGUGGCGAAGGCGACGAUCUGGCCUGCAACUGACGCUCAGUCCCGAAAGCGUGGGGAGCAAAUAGGAUUAGAUACCCUAGUAGUCCACGCCGUAAACGAUGAGUACUAAGUGUUGGAUGUCAAAGUUCAGUGCUGCAGUUAACGCAAUAAGUACUCCGCCUGAGUAGUACGUUCGCAAGAAUGAAACUCAAAGGAAUUGACGGGG